Clupea harengus (Atlantic herring) is the source of this 499-nucleotide long non-coding RNA. RefSeq lists it as uncharacterized. The record is from RefSeq and is a predicted model, not a curated record. The transcript is spliced from 2 exons. NCBI's taxonomy places the organism in Eukaryota, Metazoa, Chordata, Actinopteri, Clupeiformes, Clupeidae.
CUUGUGCUUGCUCAGGCACUGGGCUCUGUAAAGCGCUUUGAGACAAUUGUAUUGUUUUGGCGCUAUAUAUAUAUAUAACAUUAACCCUAACCCUAUAUAUAUAACAUUUAAUUUAAUUGAAUGGCAAGAGGGGCAUAUUACACUGCAAACAUGUAAAUCUUAGUAAUAAAAGGCAAUAUAUGCUUGUUUUUUGUCCGACAAGUUAUUUCAUCUUACCAGGCAUUUUUUUUGUGUUAGAGCAUUUAACUUGUUUUUAAUCUGGCCACACUAGUUUUCAAAAUAUAUUUGGGUAUUUCUUUUUUUAAUUUUCCUUGACCUAAAGUGAGUUGUGAUGUCACCGCCUUUCAGUGACAUUCAGUUUAUAUGCAACUGGAUAUUAAUGCUGUUGAGAUGACCUGAAUGCUACCUCGUGAUUUGAGAUAUUCAUACCUUAUCAAUAUUUGAAUGUUGAUGAUGGAAUAAAGCUAUUUGAGUCAGUUCCCAGUAACUGUUCCAGUGA